AGCGAACGCUGGCGGCAUGCCUAACACAUGCAAGUCGAACGAGACCUUCGGGUCUAGUGGCGCACGGGUGCGUAACGCGUGGGAACCUGCCCUUAGGUUCGGAAUAACUCUCCGAAAGGGGUGCUAAUACCGGAUAAUGUCUUCGGACCAAAGAUUUAUCGCCUUUGGAUGGGCCCGCGUUGGAUUAGCUAGUUGGUAGGGUAAAAGCCUACCAAGGCGACGAUCCAUAGCUGGUCUGAGAGGAUGAUCAGCCACACUGGGACUGAGACACGGCCCAGACUCCUACGGGAGGCAGCAGUGGGGAAUAUUGGACAAUGGGCGAAAGCCUGAUCCAGCAAUGCCGCGUGAGUGAUGAAGGCCUUAGGGUUGUAAAGCUCUUUUACCCGGGAUGAUAAUGACAGUACCGGGAGAAUAAGCUCCGGCUAACUCCGUG
Molecule: ribosomal RNA, 433 nt
Filed under: uncultured bacterium
Lineage: Bacteria
Description: partial 16S ribosomal RNA
Rfam family: Bacterial small subunit ribosomal RNA
Source: RNAcentral